CUUGGCCCUAAACCUCAGUAAUUAGAUAACAAAACUACUCGCCAGAAUACUACAAGCAACAGCUUGAAACUCAAAGGACUUGACGGUGCUUUACAUCCCCCUAGAGGAGCCUGUUCCAUAAUCGAUAAACCCCGAUCCACCCUACCCUCUCUUGCUCAGCCUAUAUACCGCCAUCUUCAGCAAACCCUAAUGAAGGCCACAAAGUGAGCGCAAACGCCACCGCCGCAAAUACGUUAGGUCAAGGUGUAGCCCAUGAGACGGUAAAAAAUGGGCUACAUUUUCUGUUUCAGAAAACCCCACGAAAACCCUUAUGAAACUUAAGGGUCCAAGGAGGAUUUAGCAGUAAAUUAAGAAUAGAGUGCUUAAUUGAACCAGGCCAUAAAGCGCG
This 388-nucleotide ribosomal RNA is filed under the name Macaca fascicularis (crab-eating macaque). RNAcentral's name for it is "partial 12S ribosomal RNA". It matches the Rfam family "Bacterial small subunit ribosomal RNA", at positions 795 to 1383 of the family's 1533-position model. Lineage: Eukaryota; Metazoa; Chordata; Mammalia; Primates; Cercopithecidae. The record is from RNAcentral.